Molecule: ribosomal RNA, 908 nt
Filed under: uncultured archaeon
Lineage: Archaea
Description: 16S ribosomal RNA
Rfam family: Archaeal small subunit ribosomal RNA
Source: RNAcentral
UUGAUCCUGCCGGAGGUCACUGCUAUUGGGAUUCGACUAAGCCAUGCGAGUCGCGAGGGUUCGGCCCUCGGCUGACGGCUCAGUAACACGCGGAUAAUCUGCCCUUAGGUGGAGGAUAACCUCGGGAAACUGAGAAUAACACUCCAUAGAUCUAGGAGGCUGGAAUGCACUUAGAUCAAAAACUUCGGUGCCUAAGGAUGAGUCUGCGGACUAUCAGGUAGUAGUCAGGGUAAUGACCUGACCAGCCUACGACGGAUACGGGUUGUGAGAGCAAUAACCCGGAGAUGAUAUCUGAGACACGAUAUCAGGCCCUACGGGGCGCAGCAGGCGCGAAAACUUCACACUGUGCGAAAGCACGAUGAGGGAAUCCCAAGUGCUGACUCGUAAGAGUCAGCUGUUUUUCUGUCUAGAAAACAGAGAGAGUAAGGGCUGGGUAAGACGGGUGCCAGCCGCCGCGGUAAUACCUGCAGCCCGAGUGGUGGCCGCUAUUAUUGGGCCUAAAACGUCCGUAGCCGGUCUAGUAAAUGCCUGGGUAAAUCGUACGGCUUAACCGUACGAAUUCCGGGUAGACUGCUGGACUUGGGACUGGGAGAGGCUAGAGGUACUCCUGGGGUAGAGGUGAAAUUCUGUAAUCCUAGGGGGACGACCAGUGGCGAAGGCGUCUAGCUAGAACAGGUCUGACGGUGAGGGACGAAGCCCUGGGGCGCAAACCGGAUUAGAUACCCGGGUAGUCCCAGCUGUAAACGAUGCGCGUUAGGUGUAUCGGUGACUACGAGUCACCGAGGUGCCGAAGGGAAACCGUGAAACGUGCCGCCUGGGAAGUACGGUCGCAAGGCUGAAACUUAAAGGAAUUGGCGGGGGAGCACCACAACGGGUGGAGCCUGCGGUUUAAUUGGAUUCAACGCCGG